Molecule: ribosomal RNA, 253 nt
Filed under: uncultured bacterium
Lineage: Bacteria
Description: partial 16S ribosomal RNA
Rfam family: Bacterial small subunit ribosomal RNA
Source: RNAcentral
UACGGAGGGGGCAAGCGUUGUCCGGAAUCAUUGGGCGUAAAGCGCGCGUAGGCGGCCCGGUAAGUCCGUUGUGAAAGUCAAAGGCUCAACCUUUGAACGCCGAUGGAUACUGCCGGGCUAGAGUCCGGAAGAGGCGAGUGGAAUUCCUGGUGUAGCGGUGGAAUGCGCAGAUAUCAGGAGGAACACCAAUAGCGAAGGCAGCUCGCUGGGACGGUACUGACGCUGAGGCGCGAAGGCGUGGGGAGCGAACGGG